GAAGAGAGACGACCUCUGCCAGUAAGGAAGUGGUUUCAACCCGCCUGCCUUUCUUGUUUUAUCUUUGGUGAAUGAAAAGAGGACGCCUGCGAAAACAGUUUGUUGCGACGGUGGGAUAGCGAGGCAAGGUUUUCCGUUAGUCGAAGCUGCUGUUGCAUAUUCCUUCUGUUGCUGCUGCUGCCGCCGCCACCGCCGCCGCCGCUUGCUUCCCUGCUGCAGUUUCAUAGAACAG
Molecule: non-coding RNA, 232 nt
Organism: Podarcis lilfordi (Lilford's wall lizard)
Lineage: Eukaryota; Metazoa; Chordata; Lepidosauria; Squamata; Lacertidae
Source: the annotation of a GenBank genome assembly